RNAcentral lists this unclassified non-coding RNA (2603 nucleotides) under Stylophora pistillata. RNAcentral's name for it is "uncharacterized LOC111330524, transcript variant X2". Lineage: Eukaryota; Metazoa; Cnidaria; Anthozoa; Scleractinia; Pocilloporidae. The record is from RNAcentral.
CAGGUCUAUGGCGCUGGGCUGUUUCAAGAAAGCUCAGCAACCUAUGGACAAAAACCACAGCCAAAUGACCAUCAAAACUUUCAAAUAAGAUCCGAGCCCCAAGCGAGGUAUUAAAACUCCAGGUCUUUGGAAUUCACGCUUUCAUGCUCCACCACUGAGCUACUAGAUCUGUUUCAUCGUUGUGAUUAAACCAAAUCAAUCGAGGAGUUCGCUUCAUUGGUGAUGCCAGUGGUAAGGGUGUAGCUGCGGCUGUGUAUUCUGUACUUUUUCAAGAGUCAGGCGCCAAUCAGGGGCUUGUGGCAGCGAGAGCGAGACUUUCCAAAAAGGGACUGACGAUCCCUCGGCUAGAGUUGGUGUCUGGACACAUGGCAGUGAAUCUUUUGGCAAACGUGGCCUCAGUUCUGGAGGGAUUUCCCCUAAUACAAAAGUACUGUUGGCUCGAUAGCACCGUCUCCCUGCACUGGAUCAGAUCUCCAGGCACAUAUAAGCAGUUUGUGAGUAACAGGGUUGAGAAAAUACAAGCACAUUCGGAAGUGACCUGGCGACACGUAGGGACUUCGGAGAACCCUGCUGACCUUCGAAGCCGUAGUGGAGAUGUGACAAAUAAUCCCUCUUGGUGUAAUGGACCGAAGUGGUUGAAAAACAAAGCGUGCUGGCCUCCAGAUAUUGUGACUAAGGCAUCAGAUGAAUCAAUGGCAGAAGUGAAAGCGACGCAAGAUGUUUUUGCUGUGGCGAUAGCAACUACAGACGAGCUAGACACCCUCCUUGAGAAAUCUACCUACUGGAGGACGAUGAGAAUCUGUGCGUGGAUAAUGCGGUUCGUCCACAACGUUCGUUCAAGGAAGACAGAAAGACUCAAGGGACCGCUGACAACGGAAGAAACUAACAAAGUGAUAAUCUUUUUGGGUGAAAAGAGUCCAGUCCCGAGUCGCAGUUGAUAAACAAUACCAAGAAGAUCGGUUGCAACUGAAUCUACAACCAACCCAAGGCGGCGUUUUGGAAUGUCGAGGUAGAAUCCAAGGGCAUUUCCCAGUAUAUUUGCCCGAUAGUCACCCCUUCACAGAGAAGCUCGUAACACAAGUUCAUCUCGGGAGUCGUCAGUACCAUGGCAAACGUCCGAGAGCUGUACUGGGUUCCGCGCCUUAGAAGAUUGACCAAACGAAUCGUGAAGAGUUGCCACGGCUGUCGGCGGUUUCAAGCCCAAGCAUUUUUAUCCCCACCCCAAGGAGACCUCCCAAGGGAUCGCACGGGACCGUUGAAGUACCGUAAGAACGGUACGGGACGUUGAAGUACCGUAAGAACUACGCGGGACCGUUGAAGUACCGUAAGAACGCAAAGACAGAGGGAAAGGCGUAUGUGUUGCUGUACGCCUGUAGCCUGACACGAGUUUUAUUCUUGGAUUUACCGUCCAACUUGGAAACUAAAGAAUUCCUCGCGAGUUUCAAGCACUUCAUCGCCCGACACGGGAGACCGCAAAAGGUGUAUUCUGACAACGGAAGAACUUUCGUUGGUGCCGCCCAGUGGAUUAAGCAAGUGAUGCACGAUGAAAGGUUCCAGAAUUUCCUCGCUUACCAAGGGAUCAAGUGGCAGUUCAAUUUGAAUCGUGCACUGUGGUGGGGAGGGCAAUUCGAGAGAAUGGUGGGACUCGUAAAAGGAGCCCUUUACAAGUGCAUUGGAAACGGUCUACUGUCCUGGACUGAACUUGAAGAGGUACUGCUAGACAUAGAAGUGGCACUAAACAAGAGACCACUGAGUUACGUGAAUGACGAUAUUCAGCUACCUAUCCUGACCCCGAGUUCCUUCCUGUAUGGUCAACCGAACAUGCUAUCAGAGUUAGAACCUCAUCGUGUUCAGGAACAUGACUUGCGGAAGAGAGCCAAUUAUUUGAGGAAGUGCAAGGAUACACUAUGGUCACGCUGGACAAGAGAGUACCUUCGUGGACUGAGAGACAGAGACUGGCUGAAGCACAAAGGAGACGUGACCUAUCCAUCCAGGGGAGAAGUUGUUAUCAUCAAAUCAGAGGAGAAGAACCGAGCACAGUGGAAGCUGGGGGUCGUUGAAGACCUGAUCACCGCCCGUGAUGUCGUGAUUCGUGGGGCGAAGCUAAAGUCCGGAAAGGUGCAUUUGGAGCGCCCAAUUUAGCACUUCAGUGUAUCCUCUGGAGUUGAGCUGUGACAAGUCACUACAGACCCCACCUGCGACCCUGAAUGCAGACGCGCCGGUCUACAGGCCCCAAAGGGAUGCUGCUGCAGCGGCUAGAUUUCGUAUUCAGGAUAUUAACGAGAAUGAACAAUGAACACAUUUCUUGAUCAUGACUGAUUUUCCAACUGUUUAAGUUCGUGGACAUUUGCCCUCUCGAGGCAAAUGGGGGAGGGUGUCGGAAAUCGUGUGUUUACAUAAUCAAACCUUUUUAAUGCGUUUAAAAUUUUGUUGUUUAGUCCACCGGAAAGGGAUAGGCAUCGAGUCUGUCAUCAUUAGUAACUGUAACCAAUCAAAGGAAACAUUCACCGAUUGUAUAUCCUUUGUUCUAAAAUACACCACAUGCGUUAAAAAAAAAAGAAACUCGGCACGUUGUGAGAGAAAAAUAUAUCUGUUAAAAAUUA